RNAcentral lists this ribosomal RNA (804 nucleotides) under uncultured Triplumaria. RNAcentral describes it as "SSU rRNA". It matches the Rfam family "Eukaryotic small subunit ribosomal RNA", at positions 87 to 1019 of the family's 1831-position model. The record is from RNAcentral. Lineage: Eukaryota; Ciliophora; Litostomatea; Entodiniomorphida.
CUGCGAAUGGCUCAUUAAAACAGUUAUAGUUUAUUUGAUACAACAAAUGGAUAACUGUAGAAAAACUAGAGCUAAUACAUGCUUUAACCGCAAGGUUGUAUUUAUUAGAUAUUCCAAAUUGGUGAAUCAUAAUAACUUCGCAAAUCUCGUUUAUGACGAGAUAAAUCAUCCAAGUUUCUGCCCUAUCAUGCUCUCGAUGGUAGUGUAUUGGACUACCAUGGCUUUCACGGGUAACAGGGAAUUAGGGUUCGAUUCUGGAGAAGGAGCCUGAGAAACGGCUACUACAUCUACGGAAGGCAGCAGGCGCGUAAAUUACCCAAUCCUGACUCAGGGAGGUGGUGACAAGAUAUAACAACGCGAUUAAAAAUGCGAUUGUAGUGAGGGUAUUCUAAACCGAACCACUAGUACGAUUAGAGGGCAAGUCUGGUGCCAGCAGCCGCGGUAAUUCCAGCUCUAAUAGCGUAUAUUAAAGUUGCUGCAGUUAAAAAGCUCGUAGUUGGAUUUCAAGGAUUGUAAACCCUACUGGGAAUACAUCCUACUAGUCUUUGACUGUUACUGUGAGAAAAUUAGAGUGUUUCAAGCAGGCUAUUGCAAGAAUACAUUAGCAUGGAAUAACGAAUGUAUUUAGAAUCUUGGAUAAUUCUAAAUUACGAUUAAUAGAGACAGUUGGGGGCAUUAGUAUUUAAUUGUCAGAGGUGAAAUUCUUGGAUUUGUUAAAGACUAACGUAUGCGAAAGCAUUUGCCAAGGAUGUUUUCAUUAAUCAAGGACGAAAGAUAGGGGAUCAAAGACAAUCAGAUACUGUC